Non-coding RNA from Schistosoma haematobium, 45 nucleotides. NCBI's taxonomy places the organism in Eukaryota, Metazoa, Platyhelminthes, Trematoda, Strigeidida, Schistosomatidae. The record is from Rfam.
ACCUAGAUGACGAGUCUCGAAUAGGACGAAACCCUCGUCCUGGAU